Long non-coding RNA from Neopsephotus bourkii (Bourke's parrot), 397 nucleotides. RefSeq lists it as uncharacterized. NCBI's taxonomy places the organism in Eukaryota, Metazoa, Chordata, Aves, Psittaciformes, Psittacidae. The transcript is spliced from 3 exons. The record is from RefSeq and is a predicted model, not a curated record.
CAUCUUAACCGGAAGAGUCAGCAGAGCAAAAACUCCAUCCCAUCCCACCACUGGCUUCUGUGCUGGAUUAAGUAAGGCUAGAAUUCAGACCUCUCAUAGCAGGAUAGCGUCAGCCUUGCACUUUAUGGGCCUUAUCUGGAAGUGAAUGAAAGAGAAACUGGCCAGAGAAGAUAGAUGCCCAAAUCAACAGAACAGUGUAAAAGUCGGACACAAGAGUGCUACAGGGAGUGUGAGCCCUGCCCAUCCAAGAAAGGACCCAACGUGCCUCCCGUCUGCAUCAUCCUGUGUGUGGAGUGAAGGGAGACAAGGCAAGGAAGGUGCUUGCAAAUUACAACUGGUAGGAAUCAUAUACUUCAAUAAAUUUGGUAUGAAACUGUUCUUGAAUGCCAGCUACAGG